ACUUAUGUCUUCAUAUUUAAAGUGCAUUUUUUUUGUAGGCAGCAGGUAGUUGGAUCUGACUUUUUGUCCAAACUGACAAUCUCUGGCAGACUCAAUUGUCAGAUUGCAUGUUCAACCACUUACACAUAAUGCGCUCAUUGAUAUGGUUUGCUAAACAAAGCUGCUCUCAGUGGAUUUCCAAGAUGAAUACCACAGCUGCAUCCAUCCCAAACACAGGGGCCUUGAAUGCCUGUGGCGGGGCACACCUGCAGAGCUGGGCCUGGCCUGGACCAUGUGGCAGCUCAGCAGUUCACAGUCCUGCUGGGCCCUCCCAGCCGCCCCACCCCAGGAGGCCACAGAGGGUCCCCGGUGCUGAGAGCCGCUGGGCGCCUCUCAGGGAGAAUCCGCCAACAAUCUCUGCCCUGUCAAGGGUGCAGGGCUUGGCCCCCUCUGCCCAGGGACUGUCCAACUGCUGGGGUGAGGCUGGGGCUGCAGCGGGCAAGUGGGCCUGUGGGGACUGUGGUUCUGGGAGUCUCAGGCCUUAGUCUCACUGGAGCCCAGUUCUGGUAUUUUCAAGCUUUUCUCCAGCCAGAAAUAAUGCUAAUAUCCUACAACUGCAGCUUUUUCAGGGCACUACCACAAUUGAGACUUUCUCUUCAAGUAACAAUGAGAAUUUGUUCUGAGCCUUUGCGAUAAGAAAGGAGAGAGAAGAUCAUUCCUAGAGGCAGGAGGAGCAGAAAAUCAUCUCAACAAAAAGCACAGACUUCUCAUGAUAUAUUAUUAUGCUUUCAAAUAAGUAUUUCCACAAACCCAUUCUUUAGUUUAAAAUAAAGUGGCUCUGAAGUCUUAGAUUAUCUUGGCCAUGUCUUGUUUUAGGAGGAAAAAUCUGAUCUGGGGAAGCUGGUGGAUGAGCAACUUUGUCGUGGGGCCCAGCCUGGCAAGCUGCUCCCUUGAUGCAUCACGAUGCUGAGUUUCGCCAUAGGCUGUCUUCUGUGGGGAGUGUGAGAAGGGAAUCCCUUAUAAGGAGCGAUCCCUACUGAUUUAGUAAGUUAC
RNAcentral lists this long non-coding RNA (1032 nucleotides) under Equus asinus (donkey). RNAcentral describes it as "lncRNA (ENSEASG00005033186.1)". The record is from RNAcentral. Lineage: Eukaryota; Metazoa; Chordata; Mammalia; Perissodactyla; Equidae.